AACGAACGCUGGCGGCAGGCCUAACACAUGCAAGUCGAGCGAGGACUUCGGUUCUAGCGGCGGACGGGUGCGUAACGCGUGGGAAUGUGCCCUUCUCUACGGAAUAGCCCUGGGAAACUGGGAGUAAUACCGUAUACGCCCUAUUGGGGAAAGAUUUAUCGGAGAAGGAUCAGCCCGCGUUGGAUUAGGUAGUUGGUGGGGUAAUGGCCUACCAAGCCGACGAUCCAUAGCUGGUUUGAGAGGAUGAUCAGCCACACUGGGACUGAGACACGGCCCAGACUCCUACGGGAGGCAGCAGUGGGGAAUCUUAGACAAUGGGGGCAACCCUGAUCUAGCCAUGCCGCGUGAGUGAUGAAGGCCUUAGGGUUGUAAAGCUCUUUCAGCUGGGAAGAUAAUGACGGUACCAGCAGAAGAAGCCCCGGCUAACUCCGUG
RNAcentral lists this ribosomal RNA (433 nucleotides) under uncultured bacterium. Its description in RNAcentral is "partial 16S ribosomal RNA". It matches the Rfam family "Bacterial small subunit ribosomal RNA", at positions 29 to 507 of the family's 1533-position model. The record is from RNAcentral.